GAGUUUGUGAAGUCUAAUAGAGAAAUAACACAAUAGCACGGAGCAAUUCAGUCACUACGUUUCUGCCACUUCACAUUGAGGGUCACAUGCAAUGACAAAUACUGAAACUUGCACCAUACAUCAACUUGGAGAAACACUGGCUUUUGAUCAUUGCAUUUUUUGCUUUAAAAAAAAAAAAAAAGCUUAUGAUUUCCUGACAUUUCCUUUGCUGAUUGAGCUAUACUGAUCCCAUAAUAAAGUACAAAGCAGUGUAAGUUCCCCCUGCAAAUCCACUCAUUAUCCACUGGACUUUGGAACCCAACUGCCCCUCUCAUCUCACAAGGAGGACUGUGCUUUUAUGCUGUUCUUU
RNAcentral lists this long non-coding RNA (349 nucleotides) under Bos taurus (domestic cattle). RNAcentral describes it as "long non-coding RNA NONBTAT001017". The record is from RNAcentral. Lineage: Eukaryota; Metazoa; Chordata; Mammalia; Artiodactyla; Bovidae.